ACGAACGCUGGCGGCAUGCCUAACACAUGCAAGUCGCACGAGACCUUCGGGUCUAGUGGCGCACGGGUGCGUAACGCGUGGGAACCUGCCCUUAGGUUCGGAAUAACUCCCCGAGAGGGGUGCUAAUACCGGAUAAUGUCUUCGGACCAAAGAUUUAUCGCCUUUGGAUGGGCCCGCGUUGGAUUAGCUAGUUGGUAGGGUAAAAGCCUACCAAGGCGACGAUCCAUAGCUGGUCUGAGAGGAUGAUCAGCCACACUGGGACUGAGACACGGCCCAGACUCCUACGGGAGGCAGCAGUGGGGAAUAUUGGACAAUGGGCGAAAGCCUGAUCCAGCAAUGCCGCGUGAGUGAUGAAGGCCUUAGGGUUGUAAAGCUCUUUUACCCGGGAUGAUAAUGACAGUACCGGGAGAAUAAGCUCCGGCUAACUCCGUG
RNAcentral lists this ribosomal RNA (432 nucleotides) under uncultured bacterium. RNAcentral describes it as "partial 16S ribosomal RNA". It matches the Rfam family "Bacterial small subunit ribosomal RNA", at positions 29 to 507 of the family's 1533-position model. The record is from RNAcentral.